Molecule: ribosomal RNA, 357 nt
Filed under: Salmonella enterica subsp. enterica
Lineage: Bacteria; Pseudomonadati; Pseudomonadota; Gammaproteobacteria; Enterobacterales; Enterobacteriaceae
Description: partial 23S ribosomal RNA
Rfam family: Bacterial large subunit ribosomal RNA
Source: RNAcentral
UGUUUCGGCUAGGGGGCCAUCCCGGCUUACCAACCCGAUGCAAACUGCGAAUACCGGAGAAUGUUAUCACGGGAGACACACGGCGGGUGCUAACGUCCGUCGUGAAGAGGGAAACAACCCAGACCGCCAGCUAAGGUCCCAAAGUCAUGGUUAAGUGGGAAACGAUGUGGGAAGGCCCAGACAGCCAGGAUGUUGGCUUAGAAGCAGCCAUCAUUUAAAGAAAGCGUAAUAGCUCACUGGUCGAGUCGGCCUGCGCGGAAGAUGUAACGGGGCUAAACCAUGCACCGAAGCUGCGGCAGCGACACUGUGUGUUGUUGGGUAGGGGAGCGUUCUGUAAGCCUGCGAAGGUGUCCCGUG